RNAcentral lists this long non-coding RNA (5012 nucleotides) under Bos grunniens (domestic yak). RNAcentral's name for it is "lncRNA (ENSBGRG00000007938.1)". The record is from RNAcentral. Lineage: Eukaryota; Metazoa; Chordata; Mammalia; Artiodactyla; Bovidae.
CCAUCCAAACCUCUGCUCCCACGUGCCGUUAUUUGCGCCCAGUCCUGGGCCGAUGCGGGGAGAGAGAGAGAGACGAAAGGAGCCUGCUGUCUGCCUCACCUGGAUGCUGGCGGCUGCAGCAGAGACAGGGGAGGGCAGAGUCCAGACGGGGAGGGCUGCUGAGGGCCCCCGCUCCCACUCUAGGCGCCAAACUGGCCUCCAGACUGGAACUCUGAACCAGCCACACACACAAGCCACAUGUGUGCUUUGCAAGUUCCUAGUAGCCACAUUGAAAACACAUACCAAGAAAUUAGCUUUAAUAUUACAUUUAAUCCGAUAUAUCCCCAACAUUAUCAUGCUUGGUAUCCCAAACAUGUAAUCAAUAUAAAUAGUGAGAUGGAUAAUUCACAUUCCUUUUAUCAGAUCAAAUCUUUGAAAUUCAGUGUAUUUUUCGACAUUUACAGACUCUCUCCAUCGGACCCAGUCACGUUCCCUGCUCGCCUGCAGGGCGGGUCUAGAAUGAUUCGGCACUUUUGGAAAGCACCAGUCAAUGCCCCAGGCACGAAGGAAACAAAGGAAGGCUAGGAUGGUGCUGGCAGGUGAAUUGUCCACAGGAAGACCGGAGGCGGUAAAGAGGUGGGAGGAGCCAGGGAGAGAACCCGGCUGCCAGCGUGGCCAGGACCAGCUGAUGCCCGAAGACCACGGCUGAUAUGCGUUCGCUGGGAACCCUCAGAAACACUUAGGAGGGGACUGAACUUACUGAAACCAAAUGUGGGGUGUGGACUUGAGUUAUUCUAUUCAGUUAGCAAGAGAAUGGUCACCUCUCAGUUAUCUGCAGAUUCGGGGACAUUCAGGUUACAUUGAAUUACUGUACUGAUAAUAAGUAACAUUCAUGGCAAAAUAAAACACUAUUUAGUUUGCAAAGAAUUUCUGUUUGCUAUAUCAUUUCAUAGAUGAUUCAUUACAUGUAAGUUUCCAAACCUAUCCCGAUAUUUGGAAGAGAAUGUAUUUUCCCUGAACAGUGCAUGUAAAAACAUUUAAACAGACCCUAGCACCAUCUUAGAAUAGAGUUACACAGUUAUUCGUCCAGGACUAGCUCAGGUGGUAAAGAAUCUUCCUACGAUGCCAGAGACCUGGGUUUGAUUCCUGGGUUGGGAAGAUCCCCUGGAGAAGGAAAUGGCAAUCCACACCAGUAUUCUUGCCUGGAAAAUACCAUGGACAGAGGAGCCUGGCGUGACCCCCACGGGGUCACAAGAGUCAGACACGACUUAACGACUAAACCGCCACCGCCACACAGUUAUUCAUUACAAUUAGUAAGUAAUUCAUUCUCUGUACAAUAAAGCCAACCUCCCAACCCAUUUGAAAUAAGACUUUGACUACCCCGAGCUCUUCAGCAGCAUCAUUUUUGGGAGCCGGUUGACCCUCCCUUGUGGCUUAGCCAGGGGGCCUCUGAGCCUCCUCCUCUCAGAUGUCAGGAUGCGUGGAAAUGGGGUAGAGAGGAUAAAAAAGAGCCUCCGAAAGACUCGUGUGUCAGAUGAAGUAAAUACUCUGCUUCCACCGCAAGGACUAACCUGAAAAGAUGGCAACGGAAACGGAGGUCCUGAUGGUGACGAGAGCAGAGUCAGCAGGAAUGGUGUUUGCUGCACCCGUGAAUAACCUCGCCUGGCUUUUCUUCCCCUGAACCAGCGGGCACCAACCUUUUUGCCACCAGGGAUCAGUUUCUUGGAAGACAAUUUUUCCACGAGACUGGGGAGCACAGGAUGGUUUCAGAAUGACUCCAGCACCGGACACCUACUAUGUACUUGGUUUCUAUUAUUACUGCAUCAGCUCCUCCUCAGGUCAUCAGGUGUUAGAUCACAGAGCCUAUGGACCCCCAACCUAACAGAAGCUAAUCAGUCAGUCCUCUCUUCCUCAACCAAGCGUUGACCUCGUAUUCCCAGGUGGCGCUAGUGGUAAAGAACCUGCCUGCCAAUGCAGCAGACAUAAGAGAUGUGGGUUCGACCCCUGAGUUGGGAAGAUCCCCUGAAGGAGGGCAUGGCAACCCACUCCAGUGUUCUUGCCUGAAUAAUCCCCAUAGACAGAGGAGCCUGGCGGGCUACAGUCCGUGGGGUCGCAAAGAGUGGGAUGUGACUGAUAGAGCAUGCACACACGUGCAUUAACUACAUUAACCAUGAAAGCAUUUACAAAGUUCAGCCAAGGCGGCCACAGCAAGCCAGCAAGAAGCUCUGCACCGUGAACAAGGGAUCAGGCUGCAGACAUUCUUCUGGAGGACAAGGCUAGUGCCACAGUAUCAUUUUUUUAAGUUAAAAACAAGACUGCUUUAUACUAAUAUAGAAAGAAUAUGCUUCCAAAAUUUGCUUUAUUCAUUAAAAAAAAAACUGGCAGAAUCGCAAAGCUCAUUCAAAGAGAACUGGAAAGACUGAGUCCUGAACGAUAUAACGCUGUAAUAAGACUGUUCAGUUAGACAUAAAACAGGUUUUCUGUCUGCAGGGCAACGAACCCAAGACUUCUGUCACUAUCAUUGCUAAAGAAGAAAGAAAAUGUGUCCCUCCCGGACACACACAAUCAUCUCCAGCUUAUAAAUCUCCACGUCGACAUCUAAUUUCUAACGUCUGUUGUUGUUGUUUAGUCACUAAGUCGUGUCCGGUUCUUUUGCGAUUCCCAUGGAUAGGCUCCUCUGUCCAUGGGAUUUCCCAGAGAAGAAUACUGGAGUGGGUUGCCAUUCCCUUCCCCGGGGAUCUUCCCAACCCAGGAAUCAAACCCAUGUCUCCUGUACUGCAGGCAGAUUCUCUACCCCUGAGCACCUGGGAAGUGCUUCUAACACCUAACCAGUCGUAGAAAGUAAGUGAGACAGGAAUGACUCCCUUUAGACGAUGCUUGAAAAUGACGAUUAAAGGACACGGUCAUCCUUUCGCUUAUCCAAUGUGGGGGUAUUUUUUUUAAGACUUAGGAUACACAGGACAAUGAAUAAAAUAAGCGUUCGGUGCGUGGCUGUAAGAAUUUAGCCCUUUCACCUGCGUCCUGCAGCACGCUGCCCUGGCACUUCUGUACUUACUGGUGUGUUUUUUAAAUGACUGAUUUCUACAACAAGCAUAGAGACCCCAGGGCUGUCUUGCUCCCCAGAAGGAAGGAUCUUUAUGGAAACAUCUGAACUGCCUUCCUUUGCUAUCACGACAUCUUCAAGGCUCUACCGGAAGGUGCACAAGGUUCAGAGCAUUCAGACUUUCCCCUUAACCAGUGAAAUCUAAAGAACUUGAUGGUCAUGUCUUUCAAAAAAAAAUACAGAAAUAGAUCUUCAAGAAAACAGGUCAGGCCAACUCAGAAGGGGAGAAAAAAAAAACCUUAUCCUUGGGAGGAACAGUUAGUUCAUUUGACUUUUUCUAAGAACUUUGGCCUUGGGGCAGCCUCGGGAGGUGUGCCCACACACACUGGGCUGUCUGCCGCUGGACAAGUCAGGGCCAUUAUGAUGUUCCUGGGGAAGUGCCAUGAUGCUCACAGUGGGGGUCUCUCCCCUGCUCAGACCCCGAGCCAGAAAGGGCCCUAACACUGCAUCCUGACCACACAGCUCAUCAGGGAAGGAGAGAAACUGUAGGUCUGCAGCCAUAACGUCUUGUAGGGAGGUUUGGAGCCAAGCAAAGGCUGCUGUAAAAGCCAACAAAUGACAACUUGGCUCGCAGAGACGGCUUCGUGUCCAGGCUGGUUUGGAAUCUUCCAUCAGAGGCCACGAAUGCUAGCAAUGUUGGUAGUGGUGGUCACUUCACCUAAACAGAUGUCCUGGGCCCUGUGGGGGCUGUGGCGGGCUGGAGACCGCCUCUUCCCUUGGCAGUGGGAAAUUGCUACCCAGGGCCUCUCCCUGUGACCAUGUGGGAACAGUGGGCUGGUGUUGCCAAAGCUUCUGGUGUUUUUUAAGCUGGAAACUCAAUGUGUGUGUGCAAUCUCUUAGUUUCAACUUUGAUUCCUUUUUUUUUUUUCCCCCUGAAUGUUAAGGAAAAGCGAAGAAAACACACCUCUGAGCCAGGAGGUAGUGCCCUCUGCAGGGAUGGUUCCCUUUCUCUCAGAACCAGCAUCCCCAGUGGUCCCUAAACACCCUGCUUCCAGACCAUCUGGUCCCCAUCCCCAGUACCUCAUCGGCAGAGUAUUUUUCUGUCUUGCCUCUUUGGGUGGAAGAUGCUCAGGCAAACUUUUUUGGUAUAAUUUUAUGCAUUUAUUUUUACUUUUUUGGCUGUGCUGGGUCUUUGCUGCUGCCCGGCUUUCUCACGUCGCUGUGAGGGGGUCUGCUCUCCAGCUGUGAUGCACUGGCUUCUCAUCGCGGUGGCUGCUCUUGUUGUCAAGCAUGGACUGGAGGGUGCUUGGGCCUCAGUCGUUCAGCACUCGGGCUCAGCAGUUGUGGCUCCUGGACUCUAGAGCACCGGCUUCAGGAGCUAUGGCGGACGGGUUUAGUUGCUCCAAGGCACGUGGAUUCUUCCCGAACAGGGAUCGAAGCUGUGUCCCCUGCAUCGGCAGGCAGAUUCUUAACCACCGAGCCACCAAGGAAGCCCUCAGGCAAACUUCUGAUUCAGUCCCUCCUAAGGUCUGCCUUUCAAAUCAUCUUUCUUUGCUUGAUCUCCUGAAGCCUUUGGAUGAGUAAUGUUUUACCUCUACAUUUGACCUUUGGCAUCCAGAGAACACACCCUAAUUUGAGCCUGGCAUCCCACUACUGCUUGUUGAACAAAGAUUCUGGGCUAAUGUGUGAGAAAGAGACAGAGAGACAGAGGCAGGGUGUUGAGGGGCUGGGGCACUGGAGGAAUUAGUAAUAAGAAUAUUGAAUUGAGUUCAGAGAAAUGGGUUUUUUCCAAAACACAGGCUGGGAUAUGAACAGCGCGGGACGCUGAGGACUUGAACCUGACAAACCACGACUGUUUCUUAGCCUCACUGCAUGACACUUCCCAGCAGUGGCUUCUCAGCCCUGGCCGCACAUGACGACUCAGGAAGCCUUUAUUUAUAACAUAGAAAUCACUGGGCACCACCCCCAAAAAUUCUGAUUCAAUUGUCUG